UAGAAGGACCUCUGGAAAAUCAAGCAUUCAAUGCUACCAAAUUUGAAUCGUUGGAUGUUGCCUUUGGAUUGAAGUGGACCACAGCAACGAAUAGUUAUCCUGACAGAGCACAAGGUGAUACGGUAUCUGUUGUGCAAGAGCUCCACAAGAA
Molecule: long non-coding RNA, 151 nt
Organism: Corticium candelabrum
Lineage: Eukaryota; Metazoa; Porifera; Homoscleromorpha; Homosclerophorida; Plakinidae
Exons: 3
Source: RefSeq, a predicted model, not a curated record